RNAcentral lists this ribosomal RNA (962 nucleotides) under Salmonella enterica. Its description in RNAcentral is "partial 23S ribosomal RNA". It matches the Rfam family "Bacterial large subunit ribosomal RNA", at positions 582 to 1547 of the family's 2925-position model. The record is from RNAcentral. RNAcentral also lists the same sequence under 1 other name. Lineage: Bacteria; Pseudomonadati; Pseudomonadota; Gammaproteobacteria; Enterobacterales; Enterobacteriaceae.
CCCUUUGGGGUGUGACUGCGUACCUUUUGUAUAAUGGGUCAGCGACUUAUAUUCUGUAGCAAGGUUAACCGAAUAGGGGAGCCGGAGGGAAACCGAGUCUUAACCGGGCGUUAAGUUGCAGGGUAUAGACCCGAAACCCGGUGAUCUAGCCAUGGGCAGGUUGAAGGUUGGGUAACACUAACUGGAGGACCGAACCGACUAAUGUUGAAAAAUUAGCGGAUGACCUGUGGCUGGGGGUGAAAGGCCAAUCAAACCGGGAGAUAGCUGGUUCUCCCCGAAAGCUAUUUAGGUAGCGCCUCGUGAAUUCAUCUCCGGGGGUAGAGCACUGUUUCGGCUAGGGGGCCAUCCCGGCUUACCAACCCGAUGCAAACUGCGAAUACCGGAGAAUGUUAUCACGGGAGACACACGGCGGGUGCUAACGUCCGUCGUGAAGAGGGAAACAACCCAGACCGCCAGCUAAGGUCCCAAAGUCAUGGUUAAGUGGGAAACGAUGUGGGAAGGCCCAGACAGCCAGGAUGUUGGCUUAGAAGCAGCCAUCAUUUAAAGAAAGCGUAAUAGCUCACUGGUCGAGUCGGCCUGCGCGGAAGAUGUAACGGGGCUAAACCAUGCACCGAAGCUGCGGCAGCGACGCUGAUGCGUUGUUGGGUAGGGGAGCGUUCUGUAAGCCUGCGAAGGUGGCCUGUGAGGGUUGCUGGAGGUAUCAGAAGUGCGAAUGCUGACAUAAGUAACGAUAAAGCGGGUGAAAAGCCCGCUCGCCGGAAGACCAAGGGUUCCUGUCCAACGUUAAUCGGGGCAGGGUGAGUCGACCCCUAAGGCGAGGCCGAAAGGCGUAGUCGAUGGGAAACGGGUUAAUAUUCCCGUACUUGGUGUUACUGCGAAGGGGGGACGGAGAAGGCUAUGUUGGCCGGGCGACGGUUGUCCCGGUUUAAGCGUGUAGGUGUGUGUUCCAGGUAAAUCCGGUU